AACAGCAUAGCAUAUUGCACAAAAGCAAAACAUUGAAUAUAAAUUCAAAUUAUAUAACCAAUUCUAAGUUCUUUGACUACAGUUAUUCUGUGUCAGAAAUCUAUUAUGUGUUAAAUAUACUUGUAUCAAGCACGAAUAUUGUGUCCAUUUUUGCCCCAACUGUUCAGGGUUGGACCUCUGCAGUCAUAUCCAGCUGCGCUUGGCGAAGCAAUUUAUUGUGACAUUGACAUAAUAUUGUUUAACUUCUCAGUUUGAAUUAUCUUACAGAUAUUUUAAUCUUCAUUUCAUUGAUGUUUUAUCUAACAUUUAUUCCCAAGAUAUACAAAGUGACCAAAAGGAAAAGUUAACAUUAGUUGUGUAUAACUUGCCAUGUUUGUGAAAUUAUCAUAUCAAGAUAUUGUGGAGGCUGAAUAGAUGUAGAAUUCUUUAUGUAACAAAACACAACAUUUUUGAAACUGAGCUUGAACAUUUUGUCAAUUAAGAAUGGAAUAAAAAAAAUUGUUAUUUAUUGACUGAUUUUUACAACACUUAUUCAGAAAAAAAUGUGUUUAGUGUUGUUUCAGGAAAGUAGGAACUUAUGUAAUCAUCAGUGUUGUACCAGAAAAUUUAAAUCAAUGAUUACUUAACUCCAAAAAAUUUAGUUGGUUACAUCAACUAGCCUAUCCACCUAUUGGAUUUCAUUAAAAUUAUGCAAAAUAUUGUACUUAUUGCAAAUAUUUUUAAGAAGUUGAUUUUUUGAAAUUUUAAAUAAAUUUUGUAAACAUUUAGAUCAAAUUGCACCUGAAUAUUGAAAAAAAUAAAACGUGUGAAAAAGAUCUAUAAAUUUAUAGAAUGUGUGUGAAAGGUACUGUAAAUAUGCAUUUUCAUUUCACUAUAGAUAGCCAUUUGUGUAAACUUUGGGUUGUACAGCGACAAAUAUUUGUUUAAUGGCUAUGCAAGUUUAUUGUCAGUAAACACUAAAAAUGGAAAAUACUGAAAUCGAUUUGUUACAUUUGACUUUUUUUUUUUUUUUUCUAAAUUAUCCUGAAAUCUUUGAAAGAAUAAAACUAUAUUUACAUAUAGAAUAAUCAAAAUUGAGACUUUCCAAUAAGUCAUAAAAUUAGCAAAGAAAAUUUUUGUAUUAUCAUCACAGCUCAGGGCUUGCUGUCAGUUUUGUGGUAUUAUUUUAUUUUUAUUGAUGUACACUUGAUAUAUUUGUUAUUGCAUGUUAUCAUAUCAUUAUUCUAAAAAUUGUUGUGAGAAUUUUUAACAAGUUAAUAGUCUCACUUAGUCUAGGGUCUAAAUCUAGAGGUCUUAGGUGUUGAAGGACAACUAAUCAGCCACACCUGGUAAUUACUGUUAUUGUCGUUCCCUGGCCGUUAUCACCCUGCUCAGUAAUUCUUGUAUCACAGCUUUGAGGCGUGAGCAGACAUUAUCAGAGACGUCACAAUGUGUGAUGAGACGUUAUCAAGCUUACUUUUGUUAAGCUUAAAACCGUCUAAGGAAAGGUUAAAAGACUAGUAACAGAAAGAUAAACAGAUUAUUAGGUUUUCUAUGUAUAGAUAUUGUAAAAUAUCAGCCACCCCACACAAUGUGAAGCUGUUUUGCUCUUUUGCUGUGCUCACUCACCAAACAAGUUCACAUUGUGGCUAGUGACUGAUAUUUUACAAUAUCAAUGUGUAGAAAACCGAAUAAUCUAUACUUAUUUGGAUAAUAAUUUAAGGCUAUAAACAGUAGAAAGGGAAGUCAUUUUUAUGUUAAGGUAAAUUUAACCCCUUUUCUCUGUCACCAGGAUAGUUACAAGUUAUUUAGUUAACCUCUAUUUAAGUUUGAGUGUCUUCUUUUGUUGUUAUGUUACAUAUGAGCUGCGUGGGAUAGAAAUCAACCUUAUGCAAGUGCAUAUGUACAUGUACAUUUUUAAGACUUUGAUUGAUUUUGGAACAUUCAAAUACAAAAUAAAAAGAUGAAUUUUGGUCUGUUUUUGUAAAUUUUCUUAUAACAGCUCAAUUUUCAAACAGUAACAGACUUUCCAUAAAUAUUUUUUCAACUAGAAAUAGGUUAACAGAUGUGUUAAUAAUCAUUUGCAUAAGGUUGAUUUCUAUCCAAUGCAGCUCAUAAAGUUCAUUUAUUUUUAUGUAGUUUUGUAUCUCAUCAAUAUUUAUAACUUUAUUUUCAUAAUAUAUUUUUUAUGUUUAUUCAAAAAGCAAUAUAUCAAUAACAGGAUUUGUGUUAUAUGAAGUUAUAUAAGACGAUAAAGUGUUGUUACAUAGGUCAUAUGUAAAGUCUACAUAUGUAAACAGCUUGUGAAUUCAUCAAAUUUACAUGAUACAUUGUAAAUUGAAUAGGUUCAUGGCUUUUACUGAUGAAAAUUAUGAAUUUGAAGAAUAAAAAUGAAACAUUCAUAUAUCAACUUUUAGUGUUUGUCCAAAACUAUCAUUCCCUUUUGACUUACAUCUUCUUGUCAGAAUGAUUGGAGAUAUUAGUCAGGGACUCUGUCUCUCUAGGUUGUGUAUUCUUAGCUUACAAUGUAUGAACUGGCCCUUGUGAUUUUAUAUAUGUGUUACCAAACUGUUGUAUAUUUGAACCUUAUUUAUUUAUUAUACAUGUCAUUGUUUAAUAGCUUCAUAAUAUUGCUACAAUAAUAUACCUUGUAAACCUUGCUUUAAAUUGUGUUCAAGUUUUAUUUAAUAACCAUAUAUUUUUCAUGGAAGCUAAUUAUAUCAGAUUAAAUAUAUAGAUAUACAUGUGUAGCAAAAUAACAUUUAGUUACUAAAGUAGUAUAUAAAUAGUCAGGUAAAGAAAUUAUCUAAUAAAGGGAGGGAAUUUACAGCAUUACUGUAGCUGAACUACCUUUGAUAUAUAAUGAUCAGAAUUAGUAAAAGACUCUGAUAUUGACCAGUCUUCAGUUGAUGGCCUAACUUUUUGUAACAAAAACAUGAAAAAAUCGUGAACCAUCUUUUAAUAAAAAGUUUUGAAUAGUUUCUUAUUCUGUGACAAUGUGUUAUGUUCAUAUUGCAUGUACGUUUUGUUGAAUAAACACAUUAUAGACCAUGACAA
Mytilus californianus (California mussel) is the source of this 3036-nucleotide long non-coding RNA. RefSeq lists it as uncharacterized. NCBI's taxonomy places the organism in Eukaryota, Metazoa, Mollusca, Bivalvia, Mytilida, Mytilidae. The record is from RefSeq and is a predicted model, not a curated record. The transcript is spliced from 2 exons.